This 3646-nucleotide unclassified non-coding RNA is filed under the name Leishmania donovani. RNAcentral's name for it is "gene:LdHU3.02.0800(CDS-product:Nop14-like_family_ putative)". The record is from RNAcentral. Lineage: Eukaryota; Euglenozoa; Kinetoplastea; Trypanosomatida; Trypanosomatidae.
CAUCCACGUUACUGCACCAACACACGUGUGGGCUGUCGUUGGACACCUUCUCCCACAGCAGCAUUCCUCUAACGCAGGCUCCUCCUGCCACCGACUCGCCACCUUCCCAUCUUUUACUGCCCACCCACCGCACCGUCUCCUGCAUAAAAAAUGACCAGCUCUCGCGCUACCAGCAACGCGAAGCUGGUGAAGCGCCAUCAGCGGCAGCAGUCGAACGCACUCGCCAGGUCCUCGGCGAACAAGUUCACGCUUAGGCAGAGCCAGUUCGAACGGCAGCGUGAGGAGGAGCAAGUGCGAGCGCAGCAGCAGGCGGACGCGCCGUGGAGCACGAGCCGCGCAGUUGGGGAUGGUCUCCUGUCACGAGGCGGCCACGAGCGGGGCGCCGGCGGCUACACUGCAUCUGAGAUGGAGGUGCGCGACACCCCCAACCCCUUCGCACGCGGUCGCAGUGCCCCUGCAAGCGAGACCUUCGCGACGACGACUCGGAGUGCCACCAUGGGGCUCGAAAAGAUGCAGGCGCGCACCACGCGGACCACCCGCCGCAUCGACCGCUUCAACCUGACCACCAGUGCCGACUCGGAAGCGGCGCCGUCACCAUCCUCGCUCAUGGGCGUGCGGCGGGUGCGAGAGGGCGAGGGGCGUGAGGAGGGCGGCUUGGCGGCCCCGCCGGCCAAAGUGAUGCGGGCGGAGCGCUUUCGCGAAAUGAUCUCGAACAGCAAAGGCCAGCGCGCGCAGCUGCAGCGCGAGCGUGCGGAGCGUGACGCGACCACCGUGCAGCUCGAUGCUGAGAUCAACGACCUUCUCCACCUUCUGCCGAGGCGCAACAAAGUCAAGGAGGAGCAGGAGGCGUUCGCCCAGUCCGGCACACCGGAGGUUCGCGCCCUGCUCGAUUCGUACCGGCGAAACCACCAGGCGAAGUGCCUCACGCUAAAGUCCUCCGGCGCCUUCGAGGUCCGCACGCUGGUGGAGGCGGCUCGCAGCACCACGACUCGAUCGGCGCCCUCUGCGCAGACAGCGGGUCCGACGGCACCGUCGUUUCUGGACGCCGCAGAUCGCGUGUUGCUGGCGCGCGUUCGAGCCGGCGCCGCGCGCUCGUCGGAGGAGGACAUAAACGAAGCCGCUUCCCCAGCGGGCGCUCGCGUCGGGGCGCCAUCGAUAACGCGGCAGGCUGCCGCUGACAUCGCCGAGGCGCGCGCGAUGGCGAGCCCCGGUGGCGGUGGCCGUCUGGCGAGCUGUGACGACUUCGACUUGAUGAUGCACACCUUUCGGAUGGACCCGCGCCGCGCGCACGCUGUUGAUCGCACGCUGACGGAGGAGGAGGAAGUCGCCAUGUCUGUGCAGCAGACGCUGCUGAAGGAGGAUCGGGAGCAGGUACCAUCGCUGCACCUGCAGGAGCGCGACCAGACACAGCUGACACGAGGGGAGUGGGUCGCCCAGGGCGGUGAUAUUGCUUUCCACAUGGACGACGAUGCAGAGAACGCCGGGGCAGAUGACGACAACGUAGAUAUCCCGUCUUCCUACGAGGGCGACAGCGACGCCGGCGUCGACGGUGACGAAGCUGCGGUUGUGGCGGAGUCUGAGCUGGACGAGGAUGAGGAGGACGCCACCGUGGAACGUGUCGGCGGCUCUGCCACACUCGAUCGCCUUUUCGAGCAGCUGGAACGGGUGGCGACGCCUGAGACGGAGAACGCGACGUCACGGCCGCGGCGGCUGCACACGCUGCUCGUGCAGCUGCACCGCUACGCUGCGCAUCACGUCGUGGAGGUGACGAAGGCGUUUCGGCUCGUCCUCGUCGAGGCGGAGCGCAGCUUUCUUCGAGGUACUCGUCGAGGUGGCAUGCGCCGCUCCCUCCUCGUGUACCUCUACGCCAUAUCGAAGAUCUUUCCGACGUCCGACUACCGUCACGCCGUGAUGACGCCGUUCCUCUUGUUCCUGUGCUCAGCCCUGAUGCAGAUGAAGCUGGACUCGCUCGAAGCGGUGCACAGCUACCUGGUCCUCGCCACCCUUCUCCUGCACUGCCUCAAGGCGGGAUCUGGACGGUUCUGCGCGGAGGUGGUAGUGGCACCUCUCAACGUUCUGGCGCUGCAGCUACCUCGUGUGGCACUCGAACCAGCGCGAUACCAGGGCACAGUGCUGCCGAUGCCCCUGCUGGAGCGCACCGAGCAGGCCCUGCUGGUCUCCUCCGCGUCCGCUGCCACGCUGUCAGAGAGCGAUGACGCCACUUCGCAACGACCCCCGUACCAGGUGGGGCUGUUCGACACCACUCACUCACCAGAGCGCCUUCUGCUGUGCGCGUACCGCCUGCUGGAGGAGGUGUUCGACCUGCACCGCAGCAUCCCAGCCUUCCCCGUCAUGUGCGCCCGUCCCUUUUUAGCCCUGGACGCGCUGCUGUUGCGGCCGCCGUCGUCGUCAGCGGCGUCGGCGUGGACGCCGUCUGCGGCCGUGCGUCUCGCCCACGAGGUUCUCACGGUGAAGGUUGGGGACAUGGCCAAGCACGUCGAGGCGCAUCGUACACCACUUGCGAUGCGCACGUUCCGGCCGCGGCCCCUGCGCCAGUUCGACCCGCUCCUCGCAGAACGCGAGGAGAACGCCGUGAAGAACGAAGUCCGCCUCCUGAAGCGCGACAUCCGCGAAGACAAGAAGCGGCUAAUACGCCACCUGACGGCCGAGGCGACCGUGCAGCGGCGGGCGCAGGAGAAGCGGCACGCCAUAGACGACGCGCUGCGCGAGAAGCGUUACCACAACGUCAUGAGUCAGCUGCAGCAACAACAGCACUCGAUGAACGUUGUGGAUUCCUUAAAGGCACGCGCCAAGUCCAAGUCGCGCAAGGGCCUAAGCGGUGCGCCAACCACGUCCUCGUCCACGGAGGCAGACAAGGAAUGACGGCGUCUGCUGACACUAAGCCUGUGCGCAUGUUUCGGUAAGCAAUAAGCCUGAGCGCAUGCGUGUGUGCAUGUAAAGGCGUGCGUGCGUACGUGUGUGCAUGUGUCUUCGAUUAAAGCGCGCUCCUGUUAAGCAAGUAACGAAGGAAGUUAGCGAGAGAGGAGGAGGGAGGCGACCCGUGGCGCGAUGGCGCGUCGGCCUCCCUUCACGGAGAAGGGCGGCAGCGGUGCGGAGGAGAGUAGAGGAGGGCGGGAUAGCGACGAGGCCGUCGAGGAACGGCCGUGUGAUGGACCACGCUUCUUGGGAAGCGGUCUGAGCUAACGCCACUCUCCGCUAAAGCGCGCAGACCGACCGUGGUGUUGCAGGUGGUCAUCAUCACUGCGACGGUGCGACCGGCGCACUCACGCAUACACAGAUGAAGACCCUCCAUGACAGCAUGCAGUGCACGCGCGCAAGCAGCGGUGGGUGUUCACACGGUUGUCGUACCUCUAACAGCGAGGAUAGAGUGGUGCAGGCACACCUGUGCCGUCCACUCGGCAAGCGUCUUCAUCGUGCAUACACAUGACUGCCCCCCUCCCCCAACAGAUACACAGCAUGCGCCUACUUUCUUUGUUGCGAAGCACAGCUAUCUCUACAUCUGCACGCACACCUGCCAGCCUCCGUCUCGCGACAGUGCAUCACCCUCCUCUCAUUUCGAGGCAUCUGCCCAUCUCCACUGUUCUGCUGCCCGCCUCCCCGCCACUCUUUCCACGCGCCUGCGCAG